Molecule: non-coding RNA, 123 nt
Organism: Gossypium hirsutum (cotton)
Lineage: Eukaryota; Viridiplantae; Streptophyta; Magnoliopsida; Malvales; Malvaceae
Source: Rfam
AAUAGGAGUAUGAUAAAUCAAAUUUUUUCUCCUAAUUUUCAACUUUUUCCUCUAGAAAAAAUUCAAAUCCAACUAAAAAUGCUAAAAAUCAGGAGGAAAAAUCUAAUUUGUCAUGCUCCUAUU